CAGCCGCCACGGGAAUACAGAGGGUGCGAGCGUUAAUCGGAUUUACUGGGCGUAAAGCGUGCGUAGGCGGCUUCUUAAGUCGGAUGUGAAAUCCCUGAGCUUAACUUAGGAAUUGCAUUCGAUACUGGGAAGCUAGAGUAUGGGAGAGGAUGGUAGAAUUCCAGGUGUAGCGGUGAAAUGCGUAGAGAUCUGGAGGAAUACCGAUGGCGAAGGCAGCCAUAUGGCCUAAUACUGACGCUGAGGUACGAAAGCAUGGGGAGCAAACAGGAUUAGAUACCCCAGUAGUCCCUGUCUCUUAUAC
This 301-nucleotide ribosomal RNA is filed under the name uncultured bacterium. Its description in RNAcentral is "partial 16S ribosomal RNA". It matches the Rfam family "Bacterial small subunit ribosomal RNA", at positions 509 to 807 of the family's 1533-position model. The record is from RNAcentral.